AUGAGUUCUUGGCAGGAAAACACCAGCCCCUACAACUGGACGGGCAUCAUGUGCACGGCUGUUCCCCAUGGCCGCCGCAUGCCCUGGGUGGUGACCAACAUCUCCUUGCCAGAUGCUGGCAUCCGUGGCCAGCUUGGUGAGCUCAACUUCUCGGCUCUUCCGUUCCUCGCAUACAUUGACCUUACGAACAACAGUUUCCAUGGUGCACUGCCCCCUAGUAUCAACUCCCUGUCAGCACUUUUGGUACUUAAACUUCCAUACAACCAGCUCACAGGGAAAAUUCCUCAUGAGAUUGGUGACCUGCAAAGUCUCAGAUGGCUUGAUCUCUCAUUCAAUAGACUCGCAGGACAUAUCCCUGCGUCUUUAGGCAACCUCACGAUGUUAACUAAUCUUACCAUUCACCAAACCAUGGUAUCAGGUCCCAUUCCUGAGGAGAUUGGGAGGCUUGUCAACCUACAAAUUCUACAGCUAAGCAACAACACCUUAAGCGGCAUGAUACCAAAAACCCUUGGAAACCUGACCCAGCUAUAUCAUUUGGACUUGUUUAGUAAUCAACUUUCAGGGCCUAUACCCCAAGUACUAGGCAGACUAGUCCAUUUGCAAAUUCUUAUUCUUUGUAAAAAUGAUUUUUCAGGUCCAAUUCCAAUCUCCAUAACCAAUCUCACUAAGAUGAACACACUUUAUCUCAAUGAAAAUCAAAUCACAGGUCCAAUACCCCCAGAACUAGGCACCCUCGAUAUGCUAAACAUCCUUAAACUCAAAAAAAAUCAAAUAACAGGUUCAAUGCCCCUAGAACUUGGCAACCUCACUAUGCUAAAUUCUCUUUAUCUCUAUACAAAUCAAAUCACGGGUCCAAUACCUUUAGAAUUGGGAUACUUGCUAAAUCUCCAGGAUUUAGAACUGGAUGACAACCAAAUAUCUGGCUCUAUUCCUGGCAUCUUAGGAAACUUAACCAAGCUAGUACAACUUUCCCUCUCUGAAAAUCAGAUAACCGGUUUCAUCCCCCCAGGAAAUUGGCAAUCUGAUGAACCUCCAAUAUUUAUACUUGGAUCUGAACCAAAUUUCGGGAUCUAUACCGAAAACUUUUGGUAA
This 1092-nucleotide ribosomal RNA is filed under the name Triticum aestivum (bread wheat). RNAcentral's name for it is "partial small subunit ribosomal RNA". Lineage: Eukaryota; Viridiplantae; Streptophyta; Magnoliopsida; Poales; Poaceae. The record is from RNAcentral.